UAUCUAGAUCUACUCUAGUUUAGAGAAGAGAGGAGAGCUCUCAUCUCUAAACCCUAGCUUUUGCUCUAUCUAUGAAUAAUGAAUAAUGAUCAAGGGGUGCCUCCUCCAGGGGCCAGGGGGUCUGGUUAUAUAGUCCCCUCAAGUGAACCUGGGCCGUCGGAUCAAACCGACAUUGAUUGAACGGUUAUUCUUGAUCCUUUAGGUCAGUGGAGAUCUCCCAAGAGAAAGAGUCCUGAUUGGGUUCCAAGUCAGGGCGGGCGCCCAGGGCAGGAGGGCGGGCGCCCUGUCCCUGACUCCGUUCGGCCUCCGCUUCCUUCCCAUGGCUUCUGGAGUCUUCUAGAUGUAAGAUAAUUGCGUGGCACGUUAAUAUCUCUAUGUAAUCCCGACGUGUGGGCCUUUCUUCCGUAUUUCCUGAUAACCCCCUGCAGAAAUAGACAAACACCAAAACUCGUGGAAUUCUGUUAGAUAAAACCCUAAGUCUAGAUGUUGAUUUCAUUUGGAUCCUUUUCUUUGUUUAUUUGCUUAUUAAAUUUGAUACUUAAGGACCGUCAACAAACUCCCCUAAGCUUACCUCUUGCUCGUCCCUGAGCAAGGAUAGUCUCAGCAAUGGAUCAGAAGUUGUUGCAAUAUCUUAAAAAUUUGACGGUACACAUGCUUUUAAAUAAGAUCUCAUCUCUGAGUUAGAGUAAACUAUCAAGAACUAAAACUUACUUACUUUACCUUUCACCAUGGGACUUGUAACCGUCACUUCUGUCUUGAGUAGUUAAAAGAUAGAACAGUCUAGCCAAGUGCCAUGUCUCUUAUUCUUGAUCAGCUAUAGCUCUGGAGUUUUUGCAGAUUUUCAAAUAAAACUCAGAGAUUCCUUGUAUGACUCUCUAAAUCUCUCUUUUGUGGUAUUUCUGGAUCCUUACCAAGGCAGUGAUGGUAUAUGCCUUCUCUCAAGAUAUGUGGUAUUUGUGGUAUAAGGUAUAGUGACAUUGCCUUCUCUCUCACCCUACCCUAAUAAGGCUUUAAUAUCUGGAGCUCAUAGGUGGGAGAUAAAGUAUACAUACUUAUAAGACAUUUAUUGUAUAGUCAAACCAUGGAUCCAAAGAAACAAAUCAAUAAGCCAAAUCAAGAUGUGCAUGUGUGGCGAAUGAAUGGUGUAUGGUGAUGAUGGUGAUAACAAUGGUGAAAGUCUAAUUCUACUUUUGCUCUUUUGCGGGGAUACAUACCUUUCUUGCACUUUGAAGCUUUUUGAGGAGAAUGAGAUGCUCUUCUUUUUCUUUCCUCUCAGGUGGGUAUCUUGUACCCCUAAUUCUACUGUCGGACACUUGUCCAUUUUUACCUCUCGUCUCACUUUUUCUUUCUUUCGAGGUUCCGGGCAGUUGCCCCUUUUUAUUUCCUCAUUUAUUUUUUUCUUUUCUUCUCUUUUCUUUUUUUUUCAGAGCACUCAUCUCUUGAGAUAAUAUAGCAAGUGGUAGUAGCAAGAUAACUUGAGCAUUUAUUUCACAAGGAAAACAGAAAUAUUUUUGGCUAUUCUCUCCCGGAUUAGGAGUAGAAUAUUUUUGGGUGGUUCUGGAGAUGGACAUAGAUGGAUAUAUGUGGAUGGUACUUACGGAGUAGAAGUAGCAUAUAUGAGUGAACGUGCAAGUGAAUCUUGAUUUAACCACAUGACAAGCUCCUAAGGGUCUACACAGCUUGACCACACUCAAUGCUCAUAAGCAGUAAAUAGUAAAUGUGUGGCUCAAAGUCUAGCAAGCAUGUAUAUAUGGCUGUGCUAGGAAUUUAAACUCUCAUCAUACAGGAACUCAUCAUGCAAUAUUUUAAAGAUUUUCCAAAGAUAAAAUUCUCCAGAAUUCUAGCAUCUCUAGGAACAGAUAAACAACAGCUCAACCUUCCCAUAUCAUAUCCGUUAACAACUUAGAUUUCAGAUCAAGUUUUCAUCCCACAAGUUUAGAUCUAGAGCAAGCUUUAAAUUAUAACAGUUAUGUCUAAAUUUGAGAGAGAACUUCAAAUUUGCAAAUUAGGUAGAGCAACUAUUCAUCAUAUCCAUGCUAGAGUUUCAUUAUUAAGAUUCAGAUUAGCAUAGCCACUUUAUUUAUUUAUUAAACACACUAAGCAAAAGAUAUAUAUAAGCACAAAAUCUUUAUUUGGUUUUUCAUAGUUUAUGUAUUUUAAUAUUCUAACAUAAUAUAAGUAUAAAGAUAGGUAGAAAUACUUAGCGAGAUAAAUGGGGGUGCUCUCCCCCAAGCUGAAUUUUGAAGUAAUUUCUCUUGAUGUAGCUAGCAGGUGGCAGAGGUGUAUUUGAAAGUCAGCAGCAUUCUGACAACGAUUAGAAUAUCCUCCGUCUGCUAGUCUUCUUGAUUCUUAAAUUCUGUGGAGCUAAAAUAGACAACAAAGCUUGUGGAACUAAUUAAGUGUUAGCAUAAAUAUCUAGCCUUCAUCAUAUUGAGCUUCCUCAAUAAAUAUUACUCCCUGUUUUUAUAUUUUUAUUUUAUAAAGCAGAAAAGAAAUAUUUAUUUUAUUUUUAUGCCACCACAGUGAAGGUACUUAUGGGUUUUAUGCCACUCGUAUACUCACAUGGGGCUUAGUAUUUUUUAACAUUUUUAUUUUCUUUUCACGAUAGCAUGAUUUAACUAAUAAUCUAUUUAAGGAAAGUAAAUAAUUAAAGGGAAAAUGGAAUGCAGAAAGGAUAAAUAUGGAUAACUACCGAUCUUACCUUUCGGCGAGGGUUCAAUGUUUUAAGUCUUCUUAACAAAACUUAUCACCGUGUUCAUUCUUCAGGUGCGUCAUUUGAUUCAGGUGCGGACCUUGACGUCUGCACCUCUUCGUUUGCCCAGCAGUUCGAAGUGCGGCGUUGGCAGUAUCUUGCUCAGGGUGUUUGUGCUCGUAGAUCCAAGUCCUUCACUUGGUAGAGUCUGAGAGUUAUAAAACUCCUCCAUGUUUUGCUCGAAGUGUACCUGCUCAUAGAGACAAGGCAGAGAUCAAGUGCAUGGGUCCUGUUGGUGGAAAACACCAACAGAACUUAAAGUCUAUUUGUUCUUCUCUAACCCUAAGCAUAGUGAGCAAGACAAAGUUGAUGGAUGAAAAGUUCAUGAGUGUAGUGUUGAUAUUUGGUAACGCAAUAAGGAAAUGAUCCGCAAGCGCAUGGAUAUCGGUGAGCAUUUCACCCGAGAGGUUAUCUAGAGUUAUCGUAUUUAUAUUUUUACCACUGGGAGAAAGGGUGCAUCUGACUAACCAAAUCUAUUGCUACUAUCCCUUUAGGCUACAAAGAAUGUUUCUCGAUGUGAGUGAUGUAUAGAGAAGACUGCAACUGUAGUCUCGUUCUAACCUUGGUAAGGAUGAUCUACUGUUCUAUUGGGGCAGCUUAUGGAAUCUAGACACCACAAAGGAUGUUCGACCCGCACCUAUAAACCUACCCGUCCUGCUAACAAGAUAUGGGAUACAAAGGUAACUCGGAAAUGUCACGUUCCUUGCUACUACCACGGUCCAGCUAGUCAGGGGAUAUCUAUGAGUACCCUAGCCUAAACACCAUGUUUACGCUAGCAAUGAUUACUCUAAUACUCAACCGGAAGAGGAUUAAAGUAAACUCAUAAACCAAAGAACAAUAAAACAAGAACUUACUAGAAUUAGAAGUCGAAUUACUGAAGAAUCUUAGAAGCAAGCCUCGGGUUAGGAGACUUGAUCCCGUAGGUACAACUCGGAGUAGACACCGACAGGCCGGCCUUCCUUCGAUCUACACCUCCACUCUAUCUCUCUCAAUCUAGUAGAAACUAGAAGAUCUAUUUCUAUUUACAUUGGUUGCUAAGCCUAAAAAGAAAUAUUAUUUAGAGAAGAGGUUUUCCUUCGAGGGCACCCCUCAAUCUCUAUGAUAACUUCUUGUCUUCUCCAGGGGCCAGGGGGUCUCCUUAUAUAGUCCUCCUCCUCUAUGCGUUUUUGGGUCGGUAGGCGAUGUGGUACUACGUUAUCCUUGAUCCUUUAGGUCGGUGGAACAUCGUGUGCGAAGAGAGUCCCGAACGGAGUCCAGGACAGGGCGGGCGCCCUGGGCCUAGCCCCUUUCGGCCUCUGCUUUCUUCUCGUGGCUUCUGGAGUCUUCUAGAUGGUAGAAAAUUGCGUAGUAUGUUGAUAUCUCUAUGUAAUCCCGACAUGUGGGCCUUUCUUCCUUAUUUCCUGAUAACCCCCUGCAGAAAUAGACAAACACCAAAACUCGUGGAAUUCUGUCAGAUAAAACCCUAAUUCUAGGUGUUGCUUGCAUUUGGAUCCUUUUCUUUAUUUAUUUGAUGAUUAUAUUUGCUAACUUAAGGACCGUCAACAACUCCCCCAAGCUUACCUCUUGCUCGUCCCUGAGCAAGGAUGAACUCAAGAGUUUCUGCAGUGGUUUCAUGCCUUAAAAGUACACACGCAUUCAAGCAAGAUCUCAUCUCUGAGUUAGAAUAAACUGUUAAGACUUAAAACUUACUGAUUUUACCUUUCACCAUGUGGCUUGUAACCGUCACUUGUGUCUUGAGCAGUUAAAAGAUAGAACGGUCAAGUCAAGCGCCAUGUCUCUUAUUCUUGAUCAGCUAUAGCUCUGGAGUUUUUGCAGAUUUUCAAAUAAAACUCAGAGAUUCCUUAUAUGACUCUCUCAGAUCUCUCUUUUGUGGUAUUUCUGGAUCCUUACCAAGGUAGUAAUGGUAUAUGCCUUCUCUCAAAGUAUGUGGUAUUUUUGGUAUGAGGCAUAGUGAUAUUGCCUUCUCUCUCACCCUACUCUAAUAAGGUUUUGAUAUCUGGAGCUCAUAGGUGGGAGACAGCUAAUACAUACUUACAAGACAUUUAUUGCAUAGUCAAACCAUGGAUCCAGAGAAACAAGUCAAUAUAUCAAAUCAAGAUGUGCAUGUGUGGUGAAUGAAUGGUGUAUGGUGAUGAUGGUGAUAAUAAUGGUGGAAGUCUAAUUCUACUUUUGCUCUUUUGAGGGGAUACAUACCUUUCUUGCACUUUGAAGCUUUUUGGGAAGAAUGAGAUGCUCUAUAUUUUCUUUUUCUUUCCUCUCAGGUGGGUAUCUUGUACCCCUAAUUCUACUGUCGGACACUUGUCCAUUUUUACCUCUCGUCUCACUUUUUCUUUUCUUCGAGGUUCCGGGCACUUGCCCCUUUUUAUUUCCUCGUAUUUAUUUUUUAUUCUUUUUCUUUUUUUUAGAGAGCACUCUUCUGCUGAAAUAAUAUAGCAAGUGGUAGUAACCAAAAUAACUGGAGCAUUUAUUUCACAGGGAAUAACAGGGAUAGGAAAAUAUUCUUGGCUAUUCUCUCCCGGAUAGGAGUAGAAUACUUUUGGGUGGUUUUGGAGAUGGAAAUGAGUGGAUAUAUGUGGAUGGUACUUCCGGAGUAGAAGUAGCAUGUAUGAGUGAACGUGCAAGUGAAUCUUGAUUUUAACCAGAUGAUAAGCUCCUAAGGGUCUACACAGCUUGACCACACUCAAUGCUCAUAAGCAGUAAAAAGUAAAUGUGUGGCUCAAAGUCUAAUAAGCAUGUAUAUAUGGCUGUAGUAGGAAUUUAAACUCUCAUCAUACAGGAACUCAUCAUGUGUUAUUUUAAAGAUUUUUAAAGAUAAAAUUCUCCAGAAUUCUAGCAUCUCUAGGAACAGAUAAACAACAGCUCAACCUUCCCAUAUCAUAUCCAUUAACAACUUAGACUUUAGAUCAAGUACUCUUCCCACAAGUUCAGGUUUAGAGCAAAUCUUACUUCAUAACAGUCAUGCCUAAACUUGAGAGAGAUUUCAAUUUUAAGAACUAGUCAUGGCAGAGCAACUAUUCAUCAUUUCGAUGUGAGAGUUUAUCAUGAGGGUUCAUAGCAAACUUUAUUUAUUUAUUUAUUUAGCAAACUAAGAAAAGAUAUAUAUAUAUAUAUAUAUAUAAAAGCAAAAAGUCUUUAUUUGGGUUUUCAUGAUUAUGCAUCUUUUAUUAUUUGAGUAAGGUAUAAACGCGAGUAGAAACACUUAGCUGGAUAAAUGGGGGUGCUCUCUCCCAAGCUGAAUUUUGACGUAAUUUCUUCGGAUGUAGCUAGCAGGUGGUGGAGGUGUAUUUGAAUGUCGGCAGCACCCUGACAUCGACUAGGAUGUCCUCCGUCUGCUAGUCUUCUUUGAUCCUUGAAUUCUGUGGAGCAUAAAUAUCUAGCCUUUAUCAUGUUGAGCCUCCUCAAUAAAUGUUACUUAUUUAGCAGGAUCAUGCACUUAUUAUUUUUAUAUUUUUAUUGUAAGAUGAAAACUUAUUUAUUUUAUUUUUAUGCCACCACAGUGAAUGUACUUAUGGGUUUUAUGCCAUGAGCAUACUCACAUGGGGCUUACAUUUUUUAACAUUUUUAUUUUCUUUUCAAGAUAGCAUGAACCUGAUUAACUAAGCAAACUAUAAUUUAAUAAUUGAAAGGAAAAGGAUAACUACCAAGUUUACCUCUUGGCAAGGCGUUCGGUGUUUUUAAGUCCUCCGAACGGGACUCCUUGUGUUUUCAGUCGUCCUGGGAUUCACUAGGUGGCGUAGUCGGUGAUUCCGGCGGCGCCUCUUCUUCGUGUAUAACUAUCUUCUCUCUCCACACCUGACUCGGUGCUACAGUCUCCUCAGGACAGUUCUGUUCAAGCUGUAUGUUUUCAAACCUUAUCACUUCUCCUUCGUAGUCUACCCAUCCGUCCUUGAUGAUUUGCCUCCUCUGGUUGCGGUUCCAUUGUCUUCUUCUUGUCCUGACCUGCUUAGAGUCUUCAACUAUAUAGUUAGGGUCAGUAAAAUAGCGGCGUACCUUCUUAGAGGGGAAGUGCAUAUGGACUUCUCCGGUUCCAAUGUAGAUGAUGGCUUUGAUAGUGUUGAGGAACGGUCUUCGAAGGAUGGUGGGUGGAUCAUACUCGUUCUCUCCCAUGUCAAUGACCUGAAAAUUAUCUGGGGCUGAAUGUAUGUUGGUUGUAGGGGCAUGGUUCCAUGUAGGAGCUGAUAAGUGACUGCGGCCAUUAUGUUGACGUCAGAUCCGGUGUCAUAGAGUGUCUUCUAAAAAGAGUAUCUGUUGAUUGUGCACUCAAUGCUUGGAACACCAGGGUCGUCCUUCUUGAUCAAGAAAGGUGACUUGAGUCGACGAUCUUGACCUCCUUGAGCUGCAGUGACCAUCUUAGCUGACUCGGUCCACAUUUGCUUGUUCCUGUUCCUCCUGUUGGUCCUCUUCCUUGGUUCAUGUCGGGAUUGCUCUGAAAUUUGUGUAGUCUUGUUCUUGAAGGAAAGUCUCCUUCUUUCCCUUGAUGUAGAAACUGAUCUUGGCAGCAUUAGCGUAGAUGACAGCUCUGGUGUUUAGGAAUGGCCUCCCUAAGAUGAUGGGUGCUCUCUCCUCAGUACCAGUCUCUAUCACCACGAAGUUUGCUGAAGCGUACAAGGUACCAACUCGGACACAGAGGUUCUUCAAUAUUUCCUUUAGGAAACUAAGUGUCUGAUCUCCAUUGUGUUUGUGCUCGUAGAUCCCGGUUCUUCACUUGGUGGAAUCUGGGAGUUGUAAAACUCCUCCAUGUUUUGUUUGAAGUGUACCUAUUCAUAGAGACAAGGCAGAGAUCAAGUGCAUGGGCCCUGUUGGUGGAAAACACCAACAGAACCAAAAGUGUAUUUGUUCUUCUCUAUCCUUAAGCAUAGUGAGCAAGACAAAGUUGAUGGAUCAUGAGUGUAGCAUUUAAAACAUUUGUUAGAUCAGAUGGCUCAACCUAAUGGAAAGAUAAUCUAUCUAUAUUUAUGUUUUGUUUAUAUCUUCCAAAGAUUGAAUGUGCAACAUUUUAGCUUAUAUGAUUAGGAGUGUGGGAUCACGAAGGUAGUACUAAGAAUAAAGAUUAAAGGACUAAACAUGCUGAAUUAAUCGAGCUGGUUAAUUUAGAGUUAUAAAUCAUACAUGUUUGUCUCUUUUAUUCAUGUGUAUGCCAGAACCAAGGAGAAGCUUGUAAAAGUGUUAGUUAAGUACCUUA
This 7934-nucleotide long non-coding RNA is filed under the name Sorghum bicolor (sorghum). Its description in RNAcentral is "long non-coding RNA (SBIC_LNC017497)". The record is from RNAcentral. Lineage: Eukaryota; Viridiplantae; Streptophyta; Magnoliopsida; Poales; Poaceae.